Molecule: ribosomal RNA, 251 nt
Filed under: uncultured prokaryote
Description: partial 16S rRNA
Rfam family: Bacterial small subunit ribosomal RNA
Source: RNAcentral
ACGUAGGUGUCAAGCGUUGUUCGGAUUUAUUGGGCGUAAAGGGUCCGCAGGGGGUUGGACAAGUCUGAUGUGAAAUCCCAGAGCUCAACUCUGGAACUGCAUUGGAAACUGUCUGACUAGAGUAUCGGAGAGGAGAUUGGAAUUCCAGGUGUAGCGAUAAAAUGCGUAGAUAUCUGGAAGAACACCGAAAGCGUAGGCAGAUCUCUGGACGAUUACUGACCCUCAGGGACGAAAGCAUGGGGAGCAAACAG